Molecule: ribosomal RNA, 436 nt
Filed under: uncultured bacterium
Lineage: Bacteria
Description: bacterial SSU rRNA
Rfam family: Bacterial small subunit ribosomal RNA
Source: RNAcentral
UGAGGAAUAUUGGUCAAUGGGCGGGAGCCUGAACCAGCCAAGCCGCGUGAGGGAAGAAGGCCCUAUGGGUCGUAAACCUCUUUUGUCAGGGAACAAAAGCGAGUAUGUAUACUAGUCUGAGUGUACCUGAAGAAAAAGCAUCGGCUAACUCCGUGCCAGCAGCCGCGGUAAUACGGAGGAUGCGAGCGUUAUCCGGAUUUAUUGGGUUUAAAGGGUGCGUAGGCGGCGAUGCAAGUCAGCGGUAAAAGCCCGGGGCUCAAACCCCGGCGAGCCGUUGAAACUGCAGUGCUAGAGAAGGCGAGAGGUACGCGGAAUGCGCAGUGUAGCGGUGAAAUGCUUAGAUAUUGCGCAGAAACUCCGAUUGCGAAGGCAGCGUACUGGCGCCUGACUGACGCUGAAGCACGAAGGCGUGGGGUAUCGAACAGGAUUAGAUACC